GUGAAUCAUCAAAUUUUUGAACGCAAAUUGCACUCCCUGGUAUUCCGGGGAGUAUGCCUGUUUGAGGGUCGGUAGAACAAAAAUCUAAGCGUCGCCCUUUUUUUUAAGGGUGAUCGCGUCGGAAUUGAGCCGUCUUUCAAAUGUUAAUUCAUGUCAAAGUGGCCUAAAAUUGAUCCAUCCGGUACGAUUAAAGCGGAUUUAAGAUCAAUUUUGAUUAAGAACGCGCGAUGACCGUACCAUUUCAUGUAGUACGUUUGACUUGAUGUCGUCAGGAUCAUCUCGUAUACGAUGCU
Molecule: unclassified non-coding RNA, 293 nt
Filed under: Funneliformis mosseae
Lineage: Eukaryota; Fungi; Glomeromycota; Glomeromycetes; Glomerales; Glomeraceae
Description: partial contains 5.8S ribosomal RNA and internal transcribed spacer 2
Rfam family: 5.8S ribosomal RNA (bases 1-71)
Source: RNAcentral